CGGACGGGUGAGUAACACGUGGAUAACCUACCUAUAAGACUGGGAUAACUUCGGGAAACCGGAGCUAAUACCGGAUAAUAUAUUGAACCGCAUGGUUCAAUAGUGAAAGACGGUUUUGAUGUCACUUAUAGAUGGAUCCGCGCCGCAUUAGCUAGUUGGUAAGGUAACGGCUUACCAAGGCAACGAUGCGUAGCCGACCUGAGAGGGUGAUCGGCCACACUGGAACUGAGACACGGUCCAGACUCCUACGGGAGGCAGCAGCU
RNAcentral lists this ribosomal RNA (263 nucleotides) under uncultured Staphylococcus sp. RNAcentral describes it as "partial 16S ribosomal RNA". It matches the Rfam family "Bacterial small subunit ribosomal RNA", at positions 99 to 355 of the family's 1533-position model. Lineage: Bacteria; Bacillati; Bacillota; Bacilli; Caryophanales; Staphylococcaceae. The record is from RNAcentral.